UUGGAUUCUGGUCCUACAUUA
RNAcentral lists this non-coding RNA (21 nucleotides) under Caenorhabditis elegans. The record is from RNAcentral. Lineage: Eukaryota; Metazoa; Nematoda; Chromadorea; Rhabditida; Rhabditidae.